RNAcentral lists this ribosomal RNA (533 nucleotides) under uncultured bacterium. Its description in RNAcentral is "bacterial SSU rRNA". It matches the Rfam family "Bacterial small subunit ribosomal RNA", at positions 777 to 1308 of the family's 1533-position model. The record is from RNAcentral.
AAUAGAUACCCAGGUAGUCCACGCCGUAAACGAUGAGUGCUAAGUGUUAGGGGGUUUCCGCCCCUUAGUGCUGCAGCUAACGCAUUAAGCACUCCGCCUGGGGAGUACGGUCGCAAGACUGAAACUCAAAGGAAUUGACGGGGGCCCGCACAAGCGGUGGAGCAUGUGGUUUAAUUCGAAGCAACGCGAAGAACCUUACCAGGUCUUGACAUCCCGCUGACCGUUCUAGAGAUAGAUCUUUCCCUUCGGGGACAGCGGUGACAGGUGGUGCAUGGUUGUCGUCAGCUCGUGUCGUGAGAUGUUGGGUUAAGUCCCGCAACGAGCGCAACCCUUGAUCUUAGUUGCCAGCAUUCAGUUGGGCACUCUAAGGUGACUGCCGGUGAUAAACCGGAGGAAGGUGGGGAUGACGUCAAAUCAUCAUGCCCCUUAUGACCUGGGCUACACACGUGCUACAAUGGGCGGUACAGAGGGUCGCAACCCCGCGAGGGUGAGCUAAUCCCAUAAAACCGUUCUCAGUUCGGAUUGUAGGCUGC